Helianthus annuus (common sunflower) is the source of this 2313-nucleotide long non-coding RNA. RefSeq lists it as uncharacterized. The record is from RefSeq and is a predicted model, not a curated record. The transcript is spliced from 2 exons. Lineage: Eukaryota; Viridiplantae; Streptophyta; Magnoliopsida; Asterales; Asteraceae.
UAUAACGGGUUUUCAAACUCAUCAAAAGUUUUCAAUAAAAACUUUGUUUGGAUUUGAAAUUUAGCAAGUUCUGUUUUUUCACUGUUUGCUAGGUCCUCAUCCUAUAUGUCCGCAUAAAUGUAGGAUCUUGUGUUCUUUAGUCGAAUGUUUUUUUAACUAUAAGUUUGGUUUUCGUUGUUGAACUGUGUGGUUUGCAAACUGAACUGUUUUUUUUUCAAGAUAUUGACAACUGUGUGUAUUUUCUAUGAGGGAAAAGUGUACUGGUUGAAACUGUGUAUACCUUCAGAAGUUUUUACGUUGUCAUUAUGUUUUCUUACACGUAGAAUUGUGUGAUUGUCAAUUCUAUCAGGUUUCUUUGUCUUGGAUCAUGUAGUUUGUUUUUGUCUUAAACAUGUUGUUUUUCUGGUCUAUAUACCAUAUUGUUUGUAAUCUUGAAGUAUGGUUAGUUGAACCGUGUGGUUUACGUAUUUUAACCCAUAGUAUUGUCAAGAUUAUAUUUGAAUAUGUUUGACAGCUUUGUAUGUUCUCUCGUGUGUGAGAUGUUUAUUUUGAUUGAAGAGUCAAGUGACAUUUUUUCAAUCAGAGUUGGUUAUUGCUAUUUGAUGCUCAUGUUUGCAAGUCCUGUCUUAGUUGUGAAAGUCGUGUGACUUUAUGUUUGUCAGAUGUGUGUCUGAUAGUGUUAUGCAAUCAUAUGCUUAUGUGAUUUAGUAUUUGUUGUGAAGUUGUAGAAAAAAAGCUUUUUUGUUUUAUUCAAAUUAGUCUUUGAGUUCUUCGCAAGUAUUGUCUUUCGGUCUUGGUUCUGAGUUCUUAGAAUCGUGUGAUUCGUUGUUCUCAGUCUUUGUUCUGAGUUAUGUGUCUCGUGUGAGAUAUAUUUGUUCUGGUUACAAAUUGUGUAAUUUUGUGUUUUUGUCAGGAUUUGUUUGGCUGUGUCUUAUAGUCAUGGUUCUUGAAUGUAUGUGAUGUUAGCCUUGUACUUUUCUCUUGUGUAAGAGAUGUGUUUCUGGUUGUUUAUUAUGCCAAAAUAUGUGUAGGCUAUCAUCGUUGUUGUCUGGUGUUCUUAGUCAUAACAGUUUAUCUGUUUUGUUGACUCUCUGUUAUAGAGGGUUCUUUGGUUUGUUGGUAUUUGUGUUUUUUCGUCAAAGAAUCUUUUAUCUCGUCUUGUAGUUUGUCUGAAUUCUUAGUAUGUCUGUGUUAAGACAUUGGUUAUAGAAGUCCAAUUCUUUGAUUUGUUUCUCUAUGAUGUUGUGUUAGCCGUAGUUUGGCUAUUAAAAUCUAGUAAAAGUGCUAUAUGAGUUUCUUUGAAUCUUGUAAAAGUGCUAUAUGAGUUUCAUGUGGGGACUAAACACUUGAAAUAGAAUUGGAAUUUGUUGAAAAAAAUUGUCUGUAGUUGUUAUGUGUAAUAAGUUGGAAAUGGUUAACAUGCAUAGUAUAUGAAUUAUGGGGGCAUGUUGAAAGUAUAAGAUUAAUUCAUAUACUAUACAGUUGUUAGUUAUGUUUGUCACUUUGGACUCAUGUCAUGUUUGGUGCAAGUUGUUACAACAACUGGCAUUCCGAGGGGGCUAUAUGAAAAUUAUGGAGGGCUGUGAUCAUCCUUGUGGAUUUUAGUGUAAUUUGAUUGGUGAGCACAUAUGAAUGAAGGGGGAAUGUUAAAAGAAUGUUAAAAAAUAUCAUUCAUAUGUUGCACAAAUUAUUAGUUAUAUUGUUACAAGUUGUUGGCCUAGUUGUAAUAACAGGUGCAACAAAUUGAGGGACCUGGAUAUAAGAAGCUUCUGGUCAGUUCAUUUAUGGAGAUUUAACCCCCAAAUUUCUUUCAUCACUCUAUCUCUCAAUUACUAGCCUACAUACGUAUUACACACUCUGUUCGUUCAAGGCAAGUUGGUCUGUCGCAGUGAUGGUUUGAUGGAGAUUCUUUAUGAAUCUUGUUCGGUUAUUGAUCAUCAAUGGUGGUUCCCCUAAUUCUCAUUACUGAUUCUCAAUAUGGUUCUUUCUGCAUCUUGUGAGAAUUUUAGGGUUAUUUAUUUGGUAUUGUUGAAGGUUGUGAGUAGUCUCUCGGUUGUAUAUUGUGAGAGAUUGUCUUCUAGUUUUGAUAAUCAUCGGUGGAUGGUUAUCCAGUUGUUGUUUGUUCAUUUGUUGUUUCAUCUCUCAUAUGUCAAGAGAGAUUCAAUUUCUGAGUAUGAUGAUCAUCAGAGGAUGAUCAUCGCUUGUAUUUCUGUAUUUUUUGUAUUAGAUCUUACAUAAGUAAGAUCUAGGGUUUGGGGGGUGUUUUUUUGGUUUGGGUAAAGAUAAUAAAAGUUUUGUCACAGUUUUGUCGCU